RNAcentral lists this ribosomal RNA (497 nucleotides) under uncultured bacterium. RNAcentral's name for it is "partial 16S ribosomal RNA". It matches the Rfam family "Bacterial small subunit ribosomal RNA", at positions 28 to 507 of the family's 1533-position model. The record is from RNAcentral.
GAUGAACGCUGGCGGCGUGCCUAAUACAUGCAAGUCGAGCGAACAGACGAGGAGCUUGCUCCUCUGACGUUAGCGGCGGACGGGUGAGUAACACGUGGAUAACCUACCUAUAAGACUGGGAUAACUUCGGGAAACCGGAGCUAAUACCGGAUAAUAUAUUGAACCGCAUGGUUCAAUAGUGAAAGACGGUUUUGCUGCCACUUAUAGAUGGAUCCGCGCCGCAUUAGCUAGUUGGUAAGGUAACGGCUUACCAAGGCAACGAUGCGUAGCCGACCUGAGAGGGUGAUCGGCCACACUGGAACUGAGACACGGUCCAGACUCCUACGGGAGGCAGCAGUAGGGAAUCUUCCGCAAUGGGCGAAAGCUUGACGGAGCAACGCCGCGUGAGUGAUGAAGGUCUUCGGAUCGUAAAACUCUGUUAUUAGGGAAGAACAAAUGUGUAAGUAACUAUGCACGUCUUGACGGUACCUAAUCAGAAAGCCACGGCUAACUACGUG